This is an RNA transcript of Gastrolobium bilobum, 1012 nucleotides long. It is a transcript of the gene named UMP-CMP kinase 3-like, with no coding region annotated. The transcript is spliced from 10 exons. Lineage: Eukaryota; Viridiplantae; Streptophyta; Magnoliopsida; Fabales; Fabaceae. The record is from RefSeq and is a predicted model, not a curated record.
ACUCUUUCUUCAAACUCUAUAAAUACAAAGAGAGAGAGCGUCACAAUCCCCACAAUCAAAGCACUUCAAAUUCUUUUCCACUAUUCUCGCAUCUCUGUCUCCUAUUUCUCCUCAUUUCUCUGUUCUUCUUCGCGCGAAGAUAAACACAGUUUAGUUGCUACUCAUGGGAACUGUUGUUGAAGCUGCAAAAAAGGAUGGAAAUGGAAGCAUCCUAGAGAAAAAACCUACAGUUAUUUUUGUGUUAGGUGGCCCAGGCAGUGGAAAGGGUACUCAAUGUGCAAACAUUGUGCAAAAUUUUGGGUAUACUCACCUCAGUGCCGGUGAUCUUCUGCGAGCAGAAAUUAAAUCUGGUUCUGAAAAUGGUACAAUGAUUCAGAAUAUGAUUAAAGAAGGAAAAAUUGUUCCCUCUGAGGUAACAAUUAAGCUUUUGCAACGAGCAAUACAGGAAUGUGGAAAUGACAAAUUUCUUAUUGAUGGUUUUCCUCGCAAUGAGGAAAAUCGUGCAGCAUUUGAGAAUGUGACAGGAAUAGAGCCAGCAUUUGUCCUGUAUUUUGAUUGCCCUGAGGAAGAGAUGGAGAGGCGACUUCUUAAUAGGAACCAGGGAAGAGAUGAUGACAAUAUUGAAACAAUAAGGAAACGGUUCAAGGUUUUCUUGGAGUCUAGUCUCCCUGUGAUUAAUUAUUAUGAUGCAAAGCAAAAAGUUCGCAAGAUUGAUGCUGCAAGGCCUAUUGAAGAGGUAUUCGAGUCAGUCAAAGCAAUUUUUGGUCCAAAAAAUGAGAAGGCUGAUUGAGUAUGUUCACCCUUGAUUUCAUGCUGGAAAUUAAGAGGUAAAAGUUGCGACAUGAAUGGUCAUAUAUUAUUACUAUUGGCUGCUUGUUCUGUUACCUCACAUUUUGUUACUAAAUAUAGAAAGUUGUAGUUUAUACGUAAGGUUUAUACCGCUAUAUUUAAAUAUUCUAUCUUGUUGACUCAUUCAUUGAUUGCAAUAAAGAAUUUUGUGUGGGAUUAUUUG